CUCCUCUUGUUUAUUUUUUGAGGUAGGGCCUGCCCGCUGAUAAUAUUUUUUGAAGGGCCGCGGUACUUUGACCGUGCAAAGGUAGCAUAAUCAUUAGUCUUUUAAUUGUGGGCUGGUAUGAAUGGUUUGACGAGAUACAAUCUGUCUUUUUUGGAUUUUUAUUGAAUUUGGGUUUUAAGUAAGAAUACUUAAAUUUUUUUGUGGGACGAGAAGACCCUAUAGAGUUUUACAUGUUAAGUAUUAAUUUCUUGUUUGUUUUGUUUUUUUAAUAUUUUGCUUGUUUUAUUGGGGCGAUGGGAGGAUUUAUUAAACUCCUCUUUUUUUUGUUUUAUUGAUUUAUAUUUUUUUGAUCCUUUAUUAUUGAUUUUAAGAUUAAAUUACC
RNAcentral lists this ribosomal RNA (382 nucleotides) under Microhodotermes viator. RNAcentral's name for it is "partial 16S ribosomal RNA". The record is from RNAcentral. Lineage: Eukaryota; Metazoa; Arthropoda; Insecta; Blattodea; Hodotermitidae.